GACGAACGCUGGCGGCGUGCUUAACACAUGCAAGUCGUACGGUAAGGCCCUUUCGGGGGUACACGAGUGGCGAACGGGUGAGUAACACGUGAGUAACCUGCCCACAACUUUGGGAUAACGCUAGGAAACUGGUGCUAAUACUGGAUAUGUGCUCCUGCUGCAUGGUGGGGGUUGGAAAGCUCCGGCGGUUGCGGAUGGACUCGCGGCCUAUCAGCUUGUUGGUGGGGUAGUGGCCUACCAAGGCGGCGACGGGUAGCCGGCCUGAGAGGGUGACCGGCCACAUUGGGACUGAGAUACGGCCCAGACUCCUACGGGAGGCAGCAGUGGGGAAUAUUGCACAAUGGGCGCAAGCCUGAUGCAGCAACGCCGCGGGCGGGAUGACGGCCUUCGGGUUGUAAACCGCUUUCAGCAGGGACGAAGCUUUUUGUGACGGUACCUGCAGAAGAAGCACCGGCUAACUACGUG
RNAcentral lists this ribosomal RNA (465 nucleotides) under uncultured bacterium. RNAcentral's name for it is "partial 16S ribosomal RNA". It matches the Rfam family "Bacterial small subunit ribosomal RNA", at positions 28 to 507 of the family's 1533-position model. The record is from RNAcentral.